RNAcentral lists this ribosomal RNA (301 nucleotides) under uncultured bacterium. RNAcentral describes it as "partial 16S ribosomal RNA". It matches the Rfam family "Bacterial small subunit ribosomal RNA", at positions 509 to 807 of the family's 1533-position model. The record is from RNAcentral.
CAGUAGCCGCGGGAAUACAGAGGUCCCGAGCGUUGUUCGGAUUCACUGGGCGUAAAGGGUGUGUAGGAGGUUGGAUAAGUCAGGUGUGAAAUCCCGCAGCUCAACUGCGGAACUGCAUUCGAUACUGUUCAACUAGAGGAUCGGAGGGGGAAGCGGAAUUCUUGGUGUAGCGGUGAAAUGCGUAGAUAUCAAGAGGAACACCGGUGGCGAAGGCGGCUUCCUGGAAGAUACCUGACUCUGAAACACGAAAGCCAGGGGAGCGAAUGGGAUUAGAUACCCCGGUAGUCCCUGUCUCUUAUAC